Molecule: ribosomal RNA, 294 nt
Filed under: Triticum aestivum (bread wheat)
Lineage: Eukaryota; Viridiplantae; Streptophyta; Magnoliopsida; Poales; Poaceae
Description: partial small subunit ribosomal RNA
Source: RNAcentral
AUGCUCCUAGUACCUCCAUCUAUGGUUAUGAACAUAAUAUGUACACCAAUUCUAAUUUAUCAUGAGCUGAAUUUCAGAUUUGAGAAUUUUAUGGAAAUGGUUUGGGAGGUGCAGGUGUUGUGGUCCGUAAUGACAGAGGAGAGGCGAUUGCAGGCGCGUGGCUUUGAUGAAUACAUGAAUCUGGUCUUGGAGGAUGCUGAGGAGAUCAACACCAAGAAAAACACUAGGAAGUCUCUCGGUCGGAUCCUCUUGAAAGGAGAUAACAUUACACUAAUGAUGAACACGGGAAAGUAA